CGUCCUAUUAGCUAGUUGGUGAGGUAAUGGCUCACCAAGGCUACGAUGGGUAGGGGUUCUUAGUGGAAGGUCCCCCACACUGGCACUGAGAUACGGGCCAGACUCCUACGGGAGGCAGCAGUAGGGAAUAUUGGUCAAUGGGCGCAAGCCUGAACCAGCCAUGCCGCGUGCAGGAUGAAGGCUCUCUGAGUUGUAAACUGCUUUUGUACAGGAGCAAAAAAAUCCCUGCGGGGGUUCUUGAGAGUACUGUAAGAAUAAGCACCGGCUAAUUCCGUGCCAGCAGCCGUGGUAAUACGGGAGGUGCAAGCGUUAUCCGGUUUUAUUGGGUUUAAAGGGUGCGUAGGCGGCUUAUUAAGUCAGUUGUGAAAUCCUAGUGCUUAACGCUAGAACUGCGAUUGAUACUAUU
Molecule: ribosomal RNA, 406 nt
Filed under: Cardinium endosymbiont of Bemisia tabaci
Lineage: Bacteria; Pseudomonadati; Bacteroidota; Cytophagia; Cytophagales; Amoebophilaceae
Also listed under: 1 other name
Description: partial 16S ribosomal RNA
Rfam family: Bacterial small subunit ribosomal RNA
Source: RNAcentral